Molecule: long non-coding RNA, 403 nt
Organism: Penaeus chinensis
Lineage: Eukaryota; Metazoa; Arthropoda; Malacostraca; Decapoda; Penaeidae
Exons: 4
Source: RefSeq, a predicted model, not a curated record
UUCGGUUCGUAGUCUUUGUUUACCUCGAAGUGCUGCCAUCUCUUGGUGUCCGUGAGAAGCAACAAUGUCGGCCGUCGGGAGAAAAACACUGUCUCAACUGUACCGCCAGGCAUGGGCCGAAAUUCCCGAAGUCAUGGCAUCCUCUGUCAUGCUGGUUCUCGGCACUGGAUUAUUGGCUGGCUCAGUAAUGCUUUACAACAGUAAGAAAGCUGACAACAAAAGAUACCGUUAUGUAUACACAGUGUAUCGUCCCGAUGAUCCACGUGUGGCAUCCAUCAAGGAGUGAGGGUUGCUUGGCUGCCUGAGUCACUAUUUGUAUAGUUAUAUAUUUAAACCCUGUACACUACAUAUUAUGCCUUUUAAAAUGUAAAAAGAUCCUUCGGAAUUAAAAUCAAAUAAGAGA